ACGAACGCUGGCGGCGUGCCUCAUCCAUGCAAGUUGCGCGAUGAAGAUUGGUGCUUGCACCAAUUUGAAGAGCAGCGAACGGGUGAGUAACGCGUGGGGAAUCUGCCUUUGAGCGGGGGACAACAUUUGGAAACGAAUGCUAAUACCGCAUAACAACUUUAAACAUAAGUUUUAAGUUUGAAAGAUGCAAUUGCAUCACUCAAAGAUGAUCCCGCGUUGUAUUAGCUAGUUGGUGAGGUAAAGGCUCACCAAGGCGAUGAUACAUAGCCGACCUGAGAGGGUGAUCGGCCACAUUGGGACUGAGACACGGCCCAAACUCCUACGGGAGGCAGCAGUAGGGAAUCUUCGGCAAUGGACGAAAGUCUGACCGAGCAACGCCGCGUGAGUGAAGAAGGUUUUCGGAUCGUAAAACUCUGUUGGUAGAGAAGAACGUUGGUGAGAGUGGAAAGCUCAUCAAGUGACGGUAACUACCCAGAAAGGGACGGCUAACUACGUG
RNAcentral lists this ribosomal RNA (496 nucleotides) under uncultured bacterium. Its description in RNAcentral is "partial 16S ribosomal RNA". It matches the Rfam family "Bacterial small subunit ribosomal RNA", at positions 29 to 507 of the family's 1533-position model. The record is from RNAcentral.